GUAGGUGGCAAGCGUUGUCCGGAAUUAUUGGGCGUAAAGCGCGCGCAGGUGGUUCUUUAAGUCUGAUGUGAAAGCCCCCGGCUCAACCGGGGAGGGUCAUUGGAAACUGGGGAACUUGAGUGCAGGAGAGGAAAGUGGAAUUCCACGUGUAGCGGUGAAAUGCGUAGAUAUGUGGAGGGACACCAGUGGCGAAGGCGACUUUCUGGCCUGUAACUGACACUGAGGCGCGAAAGCGUGGGGAGCAAACAGGGAUUAGAUACCCUGGUAGUCCACGCCGUAAACGAUGAGUGCUAAGUGUUGGGGGGGUUUCCCGCCCCUCAGUGCUGCAGCUAACGCAUUAAGCACUCCGCCUGGGGAUACGGUCGCAAGACUA
This 373-nucleotide ribosomal RNA is filed under the name uncultured organism. RNAcentral's name for it is "partial 16S ribosomal RNA". It matches the Rfam family "Bacterial small subunit ribosomal RNA", at positions 527 to 896 of the family's 1533-position model. The record is from RNAcentral.